This 469-nucleotide ribosomal RNA is filed under the name Streptomyces collinus. RNAcentral's name for it is "bacterial SSU rRNA". It matches the Rfam family "Bacterial small subunit ribosomal RNA", at positions 1028 to 1486 of the family's 1533-position model. The record is from RNAcentral. Lineage: Bacteria; Bacillati; Actinomycetota; Actinomycetes; Kitasatosporales; Streptomycetaceae.
CGGUGUACAGGUGGUGCAUGGCUGUCGUCAGCUCGUGUCGUGAGAUGUUGGGUUAAGUCCCGCAACGAGCGCAACCCUUGUCCCGUGUUGCCAGCAGGCCCUUGUGGUGCUGGGGACUCACGGGAGACCGCCGGGGUCAACUCGGAGGAAGGUGGGGACGACGUCAAGUCAUCAUGCCCCUUAUGUCUUGGGCUGCACACGUGCUACAAUGGCCGGUACAAUGAGCUGCGAUACCGCGAGGUGGAGCGAAUCUCAAAAAGCCGGUCUCAGUUCGGAUUGGGGUCUGCAACUCGACCCCAUGAAGUCGGAGUCGCUAGUAAUCGCAGAUCAGCAUUGCUGCGGUGAAUACGUUCCCGGGCCUUGUACACACCGCCCGUCACGUCACGAAAGUCGGUAACACCCGAAGCCGGUGGCCCAACCCCUUGUGGGAGGGAGCUGUCGAAGGUGGGACUGGCGAUUGGGACGAAGU